Molecule: ribosomal RNA, 104 nt
Filed under: uncultured bacterium
Lineage: Bacteria
Description: partial 16S ribosomal RNA
Rfam family: Bacterial small subunit ribosomal RNA
Source: RNAcentral
CCUUGUACACACCGCCCGUCACACCAUGGGAAUGGAUUGGACCAGAAGUUACUGGGCUAACCGCAAGGAGGCAGGUACCUAAGGUCUGGUUCGUGACUGGGGUG